This 464-nucleotide ribosomal RNA is filed under the name uncultured soil bacterium. Its description in RNAcentral is "bacterial SSU rRNA". It matches the Rfam family "Bacterial small subunit ribosomal RNA", at positions 338 to 795 of the family's 1533-position model. The record is from RNAcentral.
CCUACGGGAGGCAGCAGUGGGGAAUAUUGGACAAUGGGCGAAAGCCUGAUCCAGCAAUACCGCGUGUGUGAAGAAGGCCUUAGGGUUGUAAAGCACUUUUAAUCGGGAGGAACACCUGGUGGUUAAUACCCAUCAGCAUGACAUUACCGAUAGAAAAAGCACCGGCUAACUCCGUGCCAGCAGCCGCGGUAAUACGGAGGGUGCAAGCGUUAAUCGGAAUUACUGGGCGUAAAGCGUGCGUAGGUGGUUAUUUAAGUCAGAUGUGAAAGCCCCGGGCUCAACCUGGGAAUGGCAUUUGAUACUGGGUAACUCGAGUUUGGGAGAGGCAAGUGGAAUUUCAGGUGUAGCGGUGAAAUGCGUAGAGAUCUGAAGGAACACCAGUGGCGAAGGCGGCUUGCUGGCCUAAAACUGACGCUGAGGCACGAAAGCAUGGGUAGCAAACAGGAUUAGAUACCCUUGUAGUC